GUGAAUCUGCCAGGACCACCUGGUAAGCCUAAAUACUCCCAGAUGACCGAUAGCGGACAAGUACCGUGAGGGAAAGGUGAAAAGUACCCCGGAAGGGGAGUGAAAGAGAACUUGAAACCGUGUGCUUACAAGUAGUCAGAGCCCGUUAAUGGGUGAUGGCGUGCCUUUUGUAGAAUGAACCGGCGAGUUACGAUCUGAUGCAAGGUUAAGCAGCAAAUGUGGAGCCGCAGCGAAAGCGAGUCUGAAUAGGGCGUUGAGUA
Molecule: ribosomal RNA, 260 nt
Filed under: Aurantiochytrium limacinum
Lineage: Eukaryota; Bigyra; Thraustochytrida; Thraustochytriidae
Description: partial Bacterial large subunit ribosomal RNA
Rfam family: Bacterial large subunit ribosomal RNA
Source: RNAcentral